This 74-nucleotide transfer RNA is filed under the name Pseudonocardiaceae bacterium. RNAcentral's name for it is "tRNA-Gly". It matches the Rfam family "tRNA". Rfam says of the family: Transfer RNA (tRNA) molecules are approximately 80 nucleotides in length. Their secondary structure includes four short double-helical elements and three loops (D, anti-codon, and T loops). The record is from RNAcentral. Lineage: Bacteria; Bacillati; Actinomycetota; Actinomycetes; Pseudonocardiales; Pseudonocardiaceae. RNAcentral also lists the same sequence under 1 other name.
GCGGAUGUAGUUCAAUGGUAGAAUGAGAGCUUCCCAAGCUCUAGACGCGGGUUCGAUUCCCGUCAUCCGCUCCA